Molecule: ribosomal RNA, 767 nt
Filed under: uncultured bacterium
Lineage: Bacteria
Description: bacterial SSU rRNA
Rfam family: Bacterial small subunit ribosomal RNA
Source: RNAcentral
GAGUUUGAUCCUGGCUCAGGACGAACGCUGGCGGCGUGCCUAAUGCAUGCAAGUCGAACGCAGCAGGCGUGCCUGGCUGCGUGGCGAACGGCUGAGGAACACGUGGGUAACCUGCCCCGGAGUGGGGGAUACCCCGUCGAAAGACGGGACAAUCCCGCAUACGCUCUUUGGAGGAAAGCCAUCCGGCGCUCUGGGAGGGGCCUGCGGCCCAUCAGGUAGUUGGUGUGGUAACGGCGCACCAAGCCAAUGACGGGUACCCGGUCUGAGAGGACGACCGGGCAGACUGGGACUGCGACACGGCCCAGACUCCUACGGGAGGCAGCAGCAAGGAAUUUUCCCCAAUGGGCGCAAGCCUGAGGGAGCAACGCCGCGUGGAGGACGACGGCCUUCGGGUUGUAAACUCCUUUCGGGUGGGACGAAGCUGACGGUACCACCAGAAGCAGCCCCGGCUAACUCUGUGCCAGCAGCCGCGGUAAGACAGAGGGGGCAAGCGUUGUCCGGAGUUACUGGGCGUAAAGGGCGCGCAGGCGGUGGGGUGCGUCGGCGCUGAAAGCGCCCCGCUUAACGGGGCGAGGUGCGCCGAUACGAGUCCACUCGAGGCAAGCAGAGGGUGGCGGAAUUCCGGGUGGAGCGGUGAAAUGCGUAGAGAUCCGGAGGAACGCCGGUGGGGAAGCCGGCCACCUGGGCUUGACCUGACGCUGCGGCGCGACAGCGUGGGGAGCAAACCGGAUUAGAUACCCGGGUAGUCCACGCCGUAAACGAAGCCG